CGCAAAACGUCUGGCGACCGUAGCCUAUUGGCUUUGUGUAAUUCUUAUUCUCAAUAAAUGAUGACAAAAAAAAAUUGAAAAAAAAACAUAAACAAAGGGUACACGUAAUUCAAGCUACGAAGAUGUGACUGUCGGAACAAAUGCUGUGUGACACACCUCUGCUGAGAAAGGAUCUGGUGCCAACCUAAUUGUGAUGAUUAUGGCAGUGCUGUAUAAUGUGCUCUUGUGUUUUAUUUUUCAAGGCUAACUAACAAACAUGGGGAAAAUGAAUGUAAGGAAGACAGAUGGACACAAAUGCAGCAAGGAGUCGACGAGAAGGCGAUGCGGCUUGUAAGAAAUGGGACUACUGUUAAUGCUGCCACUAGGAAGUUCAACUUUCCUUAAGCUACUUUACAUUACUAUGUAAAAAAAACAUACUGAUGAAGAUUUGCUGCAGAAUGCAGCCAGGUUUAUAAAUACAUUUAAUCAUGAUUACAAGAAUUGGGGCAAUAUGUCAUCGAUUCAGACAGAAGAGCUUUUGAACUGACAAGGCUUGACUUCACUCAAGUUGUUUACCAUUAUGCUGAAUUUAAGAAUAAAAAGCAUUGACUCAGCAAAGCUAAAGAGAUGGCAGGGAAAGAUUUUAUUCAAAAUUUCAUGACACAUUUUUAAUUUUCUGUUUGUAUACCAGAACUUACGUUGGGAGCUAGAUUGACUGCAUUUAGUUAAGUGAAUUUAGAGGGGUUUUCUAAUUUAUGCGGAGAAAUAAGAACAAAAUGCAAAUUUGAGCCCUGCAAGAUCUUUAAUGUUGAUGAGACAGAAUUUUCAACAGUUCCCGCAAAGGUGCCACCAGUAUGAAGCUCUGAUGGCAAAGGAAGGGUAGGAAAGGUUUCCUCUGCUGAGUGGGAAACAAGUAUUAGCAUUGCUUGCUGUGUUAGUGUCACAGUCAGUUCGUACCUCCACUUUUUAUUUAUCUUAGGGUCAGAAUGUGUGUGGUGUAACAGACAACAAGUGGUCUGUUGCAUGCGCCAUCUAUUGCCCCUGGCCCAGCACAAAUUCUAAUUAAAUGAUAAAAUUGAGUUGCGGAUUAGGAUUUGUUAGUUAUGUGCAUAAAUACUGCAGAAGUAUUUGGUUUUUAUAUGUGCAGAUAAUUCAAAUACCGAGCCAGCAACUGGUGCGGACUUUCCUUGAUGCGGCAAGUAGCGGGCCGCCAUGGAGCAAACACAGUGAGGCUGAUGACAUUGCUCCAUGCAGGUCCAGAGUCGCGGUGGCGUGAUACUCCGAGGCGGUUGUUGGACGAAGAAUGUAUAAUGAGGAACUUUGUCUGUAACAGCGAAAGAAGGAAGAAGCAAUUUAAUGGCUGGUAACGCAGUAGGCGGUACAUCAAGAGCCGACUGUACAUAGGUAUCAGAAAGAAAUCACUCUAACUAUUGUAAAAAAGGAGUUCUGAAUAAGAGUUGUUACGAGAAGCAGUCAGACAGUGUCAGUUACUGGUGAAUGAUCACCAUAGGCGACAUUUUCUUCAUCAGCUGCACCGUACCCUCUUUCACUUGAUGAAUUUAGUCAACACUAAGACAGAGCCGAACUACGCAAAUAAUAAAACUCAUCAGUGGGGCAGGUACAGCGCAAAUGCAGCUAGCAUAUCUUAAUCCUUUAACUGCUCUGGACAUGUUAACGCGCGCGCCUUUGUACCUAUGCCUGUGUGCUCUGAACGUGUUUACACGCACCACCAGUCCUUCACCUGGCACUCUGAACAUGUCUACACGUAGACAUGUUCAGAGUACCAGGUAGAAGGACUGGUGGCAUGCGUAAACACAUUCAGAGCACACAGGGACAGGUACAAAGGCAUGUGCGUUAACACAUCCAGAGCAUUUAAAGAGUUGAUGGUGCUUCACCUGAAUUUGUUGGAGUUGGCCCUGAAUCUGGCAUGCUUCAGGGCUUUGUAAAAUAGGUGGAGCAUUUCAUUAAAUAAGUAAUACCAUCACAAAGAUAUCCAAUUUUUUUGUUUCUGGAUAAUCAUACUUCACAUCUCACUUUGGGAGCCAUUACCCUCUGCAGAGGUUUCCCAUUGCACACAAGACACGGAUUGCAAACUUUGGAUGUGUUAUUUUACAGACCUCUGAAGACAACCUAUAGUAGAGCUUGUACUGAUUUAUCUUGCUAAUCAUCCAGACCAAGUAAUAACAAUACAAGUCAUUGCAAGCUUUUUCAACAUUAUCUUUAACAAAGCUGCAUCUUUAAACAAUGCAAUCAAGGCCAUUAUAGACACAGGAACUGAGAAAUUAAUGAUGAAGACUUCACAGCAUCGCUAACAGUGAACACUCCUAUCAAUGAAAAUUCAACCAACACAGGUGCUCUACCUGGUAUGUCAGCAAACCCAACUGCAGAAUUUGAUGCACUGAAAGGUCGUUCAUCUAACUCUACUACUAGCUCUAUUUUAUCCUUGUUAUCCCAAGCAGAACCUCUACCAGGGUCUUCAUCUAACCCUAUACCUACUUCUAUUUUAUCUCCAUUACCGCAAGCAGGACUUGGUGAAUUAUCACACCUAACUCCACAUCUACCUGUGCUUUACCUCUGUUACCUCAAGCUCCUCCUAAAGGAGGCACAAAAGAACAAAGAAAUAAGUUGCCAUAACUAGCACAUCCACGAAAAUAGCUAUGGAAGAAAAGAGACAAACAAAAUAGAACAACAGGAAGAAGAAAGAAAAAUGAAGAGAUGUAAAAAAUUGAGAGAGAAUGCAAAUGCAAAAGAAAAAAAUAUGAACGAAGGUCCUAAAUGUAAACUUGUGUUCAGCAGAGGUUUUGAAGUGAAACAAAGAGAGGAUCCUAGAAUAGACUUCUGCAAAUCAUCUUCAGACACAUCCAAUGAAAUUGAGUACACUAACAGUGUUUCCAAUUAUGUUGAUGAAAGAGACAGCAUCCUUUGUGAUGAGGUUGGAAAAACAGAAAUGUGGUCUCAGUGUUCCUGAUGCAAAGAGUGGGCUCAUGCUCCAUGUAUGGGCUUAAAUUACAGAAAGCAAAGUAAAAAAUGUUAUAUUUGUGACUUUUGUGAAAAAUAGAUAAUCAUCAA
Schistocerca cancellata (South American locust) is the source of this 3048-nucleotide long non-coding RNA. RefSeq lists it as uncharacterized. The record is from RefSeq and is a predicted model, not a curated record. Lineage: Eukaryota; Metazoa; Arthropoda; Insecta; Orthoptera; Acrididae. The transcript has 4 exons.